GACGAACGCUGGCGGCGUGCUUAACACAUGCAAGUCGAACGGAAAGGCCCCUUUGGGGGUACUCGAGUGGCGAACGGGUGAGUAACACGUGAGUAACCUGCCCUUGACUUCGGGAUAACUUCAGGAAACUGGGGCUAAUACCGGAUAGGAAUCCUUGCUGCAUGGUGGGGGUUGGAAAGCUUCGGCGGUUUUGGAUGGACUCGCGGCUUAUCAGCUUGUUGGUGGGGUAGUGGCUUACCAAGGCUUUGACGGGUAGCCGGCCUGAGAGGGCGACCGGCCACAUUGGGACUGAGAUACGGCCCAGACUCCUACGGGAGGCAGCAGUGGGGAAUAUUGCACAAUGGGCGGAAGCCUGAUGCAGCAACGCCGCGUGCGGGAGGACGGCCUUCGGGUUGUAAACCGCUUUCAGCAGGGGCGAAGCUUGUGGUGGCGGUACCUGCAGAAGAAGCACCGGCUAACUACGUG
This 465-nucleotide ribosomal RNA is filed under the name uncultured bacterium. RNAcentral describes it as "partial 16S ribosomal RNA". It matches the Rfam family "Bacterial small subunit ribosomal RNA", at positions 28 to 507 of the family's 1533-position model. The record is from RNAcentral.